GUGGGUUUAGCAGGUGAGUGCGCUCUAAUUGUUACUUAGGGAGUAGCUGUGGUAUGCGCAGCAACUCACG
RNAcentral lists this transfer RNA (70 nucleotides) under Phallusia fumigata. Its description in RNAcentral is "transfer RNA-Asn". Lineage: Eukaryota; Metazoa; Chordata; Ascidiacea; Phlebobranchia; Ascidiidae. The record is from RNAcentral.